Molecule: ribosomal RNA, 858 nt
Filed under: uncultured archaeon
Lineage: Archaea
Description: bacterial SSU rRNA
Rfam family: Archaeal small subunit ribosomal RNA
Source: RNAcentral
UCCGGCGGAGGUCACUGCUAUCGGGGUUCGAUUAAGCCAUGCGAGUCGAGAGGGUUCGGCCCUCGGCGUACUGCUCAGUAACACGUGGAUAACCUGCCCUAAGGAAGGGGAUACCCCCGGGAAACUGGGGAUAAUACCCUAUAGGUUACAGAUGCUGGAAUGCUCUGUACCCGAAAGUUCCGGCGCCUUAGGAUGGAUCUGCGGCCGAUUAGGUUGUUGUCGGGGUAACGGCCCAACAAGCCAGUAAUCGGUACGGGUUGUGGGAGCAAGAGCCCGGAGUUGGAUUCUGAGACACGAAUCCAGGCCCUACGGGGCGCAGCAGGCGCGAAAACUUUACAAUGCGGGCAACCGUGAUAAGGGAACCUCGAGUGCCUGUAUAUGCAGGCUGUCUGGGUGUCUAAAACACACCUAAAGAAAGGGCCGGGCAAGACCGGUGCCAGCCGCCGCGGUAAUACCGGCGGCUCGAGUGGUGGCCACUUUUAUUGGGCUUAAAGCGUUCGUAGCUGGGUUAUUAAGUCCCUUGGGAAAUCCGACGGCUUAACCGUCGGGCGUCUAAGGGAUACUGGCAAUCUUGGAACCGGGAGAGGUGAGGGGUACUUCGGGGGUAGGAGUGAAAUCCUGUAAUCCUCGAGGGACCACCUGUGGCGAAGGCGCCUCACCAGAACGGCUUCGACAGUGAGGGACGAAAGCUGGGGGAGCAAACCGGAUUAGAUACCCGGGUAGUCCCAGCCGUAAAUGAUGUGCGUUAGGUGUAUCGGUGACCACGAGUCACCGAGGUGCCGAAGGGAAACCGUGAAACGUACCGCCUGGGAAGUACGGUCGCAAGGCUGAAACUUAAAGGAAUGGGCGGGGAAGCAC